RNAcentral lists this RNase P RNA (142 nucleotides) under Rhodospirillales bacterium. RNAcentral describes it as "partial RNase P RNA component class A". It matches the Rfam family "Bacterial RNase P class A", at positions 1 to 131 of the family's 367-position model. Rfam says of the family: Ribonuclease P (RNase P) is a ubiquitous endoribonuclease, found in archaea, bacteria and eukarya as well as chloroplasts and mitochondria. Its best characterised activity is the generation of mature 5'-ends of tRNAs by cleaving the 5'-leader elements of precursor-tRNAs. Lineage: Bacteria; Pseudomonadati; Pseudomonadota; Alphaproteobacteria; Rhodospirillales. The record is from RNAcentral.
UCAGACGGUCGGAUGGCUGCUCCUGAACGGGCGCAUCGCGUGUUGUUCAGGGGAGGAAAGUCCGGGCUCCACGGGAACACGGUGCCGGGUAACGCCCGGCGGGGGCGACCCUAGGGAAAGUGCCACAGAAAGCAAACCGCCC